Molecule: ribosomal RNA, 668 nt
Filed under: uncultured Cercozoa
Lineage: Eukaryota; Cercozoa
Description: bacterial SSU rRNA
Rfam family: Eukaryotic small subunit ribosomal RNA
Source: RNAcentral
UUUACGUCUGCUAAUUGGAAUGAGAACAAUUUAAAUCCCUUAUCGAGGAUCCAUUGGAGGGCAAGUCUGGUGCCAGCAGCCGCGGUAAUACCAGCUCCAAUAGCGUAUAUUAAAGUUGUUGCAGUUAAAAAGCUCGUAGUUGGAUUUCUGGCUUUGGGCUGUGGUCCCGGACCUUCGGGUCUGUGUUGGCUGCACGCCCUUGCCAUCUUUUCGGAAUAUCUAGUGUGCUCUUUACUGCGUGCACUAGCGAUUUCGAUCUUUUACUUUGAAAAAAUUAGAGUGUUCAAAGCAGGCUUAUUGCUGUGAAUACAUUAGCAUGGAAUAAUAAUAUAGGACUUCUGUCUUAUUUUGUUGGUUUCUAGGAUGGAAGUAAUGAUUGAUAGGGAUAGUUGGGGGUGCUCGUAUUCAGCGGCCAGAGGUGAAAUUCUAUGAUUCGCUGAAGACGAACUUAUGCGAAAGCAUUCACCAAGGAUGUCUUCUUUAAUCAAGAACGAAAGUUGGGGGAUCGAAGACGAUCAGAUACCGUCGUAGUCUCAACCAUAAACGAUGCCGACUCGGGAUCGGUGGACGUUAGUAAUAUGACUCCAUCGGCACCGCAUGAGAAAUCAAAGUCUUUGGGUUCCGGGGGGAGUAUGGUCGCAAGGCUGAAACUUAAAGGAAUUGACGGA